UACAUUGAAAAUACAAAAAAAUCGAGAUUCACUAUUUUUUAUUUCAAGCAUUGAAAAAUUGAAGCAAAGCAUAGUGAAAAAUAUUUUUUGAUUAAUGUAAAUUUUUGAGAAAUGUGAAUUUUUUUAGUCAUGUGAAUAUGAGGUGUUGUUGAUUGGGGAAGAGGGGUGGGGUGGGAUCAUAAGUUUCAUUUGUUAUUUUCUGAAAAUGACUUCCCUUAACUCAUGAGGGAAGUCCGCCAACUCCUAUCCCGAAGAUACAAAGCGCCCAGUCCUCUUCUCUUGUGUCGAAGUGCAGUGUAGUGUGGUGAGGUUUUGCCUCACAGAAAGAGUGGGAAAUUGGGAUCAAAAAAGGCAAUUUCUUUUCGUUAAGUCAUUUUCUCUCAAAUUGAGGAAAAUGAGUUGUGGAAAAUAUUUUCUAAAUAUUUUAUUGCAACCAAACAAGGAAAAAUAGGAAAAUAUUUUUCUAUCGUACCAAACACACCCAUAAUGUGAAAUAAUCGAAUUAUAUAAAAAUUAUUAUUUGAUAAGAAAAAACUUAUAAAAAGGUAUAUCAUAAGAAAAAAUUCAUCUAGAAAAGGUUAUGUACUUAGUUAUGUUAAAUGACAUUUGAGGCUUUGCCUUCAUGUCCUCACCCUUUCAUUUUGUUUGAUCCUCUUUCUUGUUUUUUGUUUAUUUUGUUGACAAAUGCUCUUGCCUUAUUUCUACAUCAUAAACAGAAACUGGAAUCCUAAACUCAAGCAAGCAUGAGUCUGCGCAGGGAUUUCUACGGGUGUUGCCUCCUAUCUGCAUGCCUGUGAUAUAUCUGUGUUCUGCUAUAGUCAAAGCAGCAGCCCUUCCUUCAUGCUUAUUAGCUGGCGCUCUCAUGGUUAUUCCCAAUCUGCUCUAUUUCUCACACCAACUAUUUGCUUCUUUUUUCUUUUUUCAUUAAGUUAAAAAAGUAAGCAGAAAAUAGAUUGGAGAUGCAGUCUAUCCCCGUACCUCUCGCACGCUAAGCAAGCGCUCUACCAACUGAGCUACAUCCCCUGCUUUAUAUGCUUCUUCUUUCUUGGUCAUUGUCUUUUAUUUUUCACAAAUCUCAAUCACAUGAGCAUCAUUGUAGUUGCUUAUCUGUAGGCUGUGAAGAUUCAUUGGGUUUGAGCCUUCUGGGCCCGUAUCUUGGCGGGGUAAAGCAGUAAGGCUUAAGCAGAGCCUUCUCUUUCUAGCCAUGGCGGUGUCCCGUUACUUUACCUGAUCUUAUGACAGAUCUGAGCCUGCCUAUGUACUCAUAACUCAGGAUGUUACUUCAUAGAUAGAUAUCUAAAAAAGAUGGUAAUAAUCUCUUAUAGUUGCCUGGGAAAGAGAAGGACAAUGGUGAAAGAAAGUGAAUACUACUUCCCCUUGUCACGAAAAAGGAAGGUCAUAUUCCUAAAUGCAAUACAUGAGCCUUUCGGUUAAAAGUUCUCUUCGUGGACUAGCCCAGAAAUGGCAAGAAUGAGGCAAAUUAGAGUAUGUGAUUUCUUUCAAGGAUGGUUGCUCCUCUCGGCUUUCUCUAUGAUUCUCCCCUUUUCCAACAGACUAACAACCCUUAAGAGCAAAUAACACUUCAAUUUCCUUUUUAAAAAAAAAAAUCCAUCCAAAAACACUUCAAUUCGUCAACUCUCAUUGUUAGUGGAACUGGAAAGUGUUUCAUUAUUAUGCAUUCUACUGUUAAAGGGGCUAUGAUGAUGCUUAUAAAUUUUUCAAUUUUGGGAUGAUCAUUGAGCACUGAGAAUUGAGAUGACUUGACCCAUAUCUUGGCGUGGCAACCUUGCUCAUGCAAACAGUGUUUUGCAGCCAUGGCGUGGCUGACUUCUCUUUUGCCUUAUCAUUAUAUGCAUCUGAGCCUCAAUUUGUUGAAGAACAAAAGUAGGCGUUUGGACAAUAUUAGAGUUGGAAGCCGAUAAAUUCUCGUAAAUGCAGAAUUUUGAGGUCUCUUCAAUUAUAAGCUCUCAUAUAAGCGAAUUGCAUUUGUUAGGUUAGCCAAGAAAUAGAGAGAAUGAGGCUGCAGAGAGUAUGGGAUUUCCUUCAAGGGUGGUUGCCCCUAUCUGCUUUGCCUAUGAUUCUCCCUUUCUCAACAAACCAACAGCCCUUGAGAGAAAGAAAGAGCAACAUAGUACAUCAGUUUCUGUUCCUGUAUGACCAUUCAUGAAAUUUCCCCAAUAUACGAGUAAACCAAAACAACUACGCAGCCUUCAGAUCUUCAGUCUGUCUUCUCAUGGCCCUUCGCACCUUUCUUCCUUUUUACUCUAAAUUGUUAGUAAAAAUUGGAAAGUUUUACAUUAUGAUGCAUUCUGCUACAUAAAGGGCUAUGAUGAUGCUUAUAUAUAUCUUCUAGUUCUGUGCUGAUCAUGGAGUACUGAGAUGAACCAACCUGUAUCUUGGCGUGGCAACCUGGUAUGGCCAGUAAUUGAGAACUCUCCCCCUCAUGCAAUCGGUGUUUUGCAGCCAUGGCAAGACUGGCUUCUCUUUUUGCCAUAUCAUCACAUGCAUCUGAGCCUCAAUUUGCUGAAGAACAUAAGUAGGCAUUUGGACAUUAUUUUCAGUUGAAAUUGUGAAAUUCUCUUAAAUGCAGACUUGUGAGGUCUCUUCAGUUAAAAGCUCUCAUUUAAGCAAAAUUCCUUAAUUUGGCAGAAAUGGUGCGAAUGAGGCUGCAGAGAGUUUGGGAUUUCUUUCAAGGGUGGUUGCGCCUCUCUGCUUUGCCUAUGAUUCUCCCUUUCUCAACAAAGCAACAGCCCUUAAAAAAGAAAAGAAAAGAAAUAUAUUCAACUUCAGUUUCUUGGUUUCUUUUUGUUAUGUUGUUGUAAUACAUACUCAAAACCUGAAUACAAAACUAUACCACUUCUGAGUAAGAGAUAUUUCACUUCAGUUUCUUGGUUCUUCGGUCUGUCUCCUUUAUGGCUUUGGAAACUCUUAAAGAGGCAAUGAUGAGAACUUUUUCUAAAUCUGACCACUGAUUCGGGCAUGGAGACGAUCCGAUCUGUAUCUUGGCGUGGCAACCCGGUGUGGCUGUGAAUGCUAAAAGUGUCUACCUGGCAUUAUGCUACCUGUGAUUGAGAUUCUUCUCUCAUACACGCAACCGAUGUUUUGCAGCCAUGGCGUGGUUGGCUUCUCUUUUGCCUUAUCAUCACAUAUAUCUGAGCCUCAAUUUGCUAAAGAAAAUAUAUCAAACCCACGCCCUUUUGUUUAAAAAUUAUUUUGCUUUUCCCUCGUAAUGUAUUUCCAAUCUUUUAUCCGUAACAACUCAAGAAUGAGGCAAAUGUGGGAUUUUUGUGAUGGUGGUUGCCUUCCUUAUCUGAAAAAAUGUAAAUGAAUAUUUACAAAAGGAAGAGAAAAAAACCACACUUGGAAGCUUCCAAUGGUGUUUCCUCCUCCCAUCUGCAUGCCCAUGAUAUCUGCAUAUUCUGCUGCUGCUAAAGCAACAGACCAUUAAUGCUUAGCUGACGCUCUUAUCAUCUUAUGGGUAUUCACCGUCUGACUCAUUUCUCUCACUAUUGGCUACUUAUUUCUUGGUCAUCAUCAUUUCUUUUUUUCACAAAUCUCGAUUGCUACUAUCAUCAUUGCCGUUGCAUGUCUGUAGGUUGUGAUGGUAUAGCUACUUGACAUCAUUGGGAUUGGAUCUGCUUGUCUCGUAGAUAGGCAGGGCAAACCAGGAUGGCUCAAGCAAGAGUAUUUUCUUGCAUGCAAUUCUUGUUUGCAGCCGUGAUGGUGUCCUCUUCCUUUACCUGAUCUUAUGAUAGAUUUUAACCUACUUAUGUACUGACGAUUGUCGCUAAUAGCUAUCUGAAAAUAGAUGGAAAAAACUUAAUAGAUAUAUGCCUGGAGAAAGAGAACGAAAAUGAUGAAGAACUACUUUCCCUUGUGAUGACAUUUCCCUGUGCCACUCUGAGACCAACAACUCUUAUUUAUGGAAAGAGUUUUACUUCUAUAAACUGAUAGUUCCUCCUAAUACUACUCUACAUCUCUGCCUUUCCUCUGUGCGUUGUUGGAGUGUUAAAGGAGGGUACAUAAAGAGGUGCUGAUGAUGAGGGGCUAAAUAAUUUGGGCAUUGAGGCCACCUAACCCAUAUCUUGGCUGGUGAUUUGAGUUUUUCCUUUUCACAUGCACUGGUGUUUUUGCAGCAAUGGCAUGGUUGCCUUCUCUUUACCUGAUCUUUUUUGCAGAUCUAAGCCUUGCCUUUUUUUGGCACCUGCAAUUUGUUAUCCGAAGCACACUUUUUGCCCCAAUUUUUUUGCUUAAAUCUUUCAGUAUCCAAAUAAAAAAUGAGGAAAUAUAGGGAAAUAUGAGGAUCGUUCUAUAUGUUCUUAGUUUCUAACUUUCCUCUUUCAUGCAGUAAAGGUGGACGAAUCAUGGCUGAAUGGUAUCGUCUAUAAGUUUGUUUUUGUCGAUGACUUUGAUGGCUGUUGUGCAUAUCUUUUCUUUUCUUUUUCUUUUUUGCCUUGGCUGUGAGAUUGUUCCUUGGAAGCAGUUGUAGAAGAUGUUCAAAUAGCAAUUGUUGCUACACGUAAAAGAAGCUGUGAUGAUACUUUUGGGCUAAUCAAUGAGCGUGGAGACGAUCCAAUCUGUAUCUUUGCUUUGGCAACUCAAUGUAGCGUGUUAGGUUUCUCUUACAUGCAACCUGUGCUUUGGAGCCAUGGAGUAAUGAGCUUCUCUCUGCAAUCUAACGCAAGUUUGAGCCUCGAUUUGCUUUUAAAAAAGACAACCUUUUUCUUAGUUUAAUGCAGGGAUAUGAUCGAUCGAGCAUGAGAUGAUCAUGUUGCUAAGUUAGAAGAAUAAGGAUCUCUCACUUUUCACCAUGCCUGUUUGUUGCACUUCUUCCUGUGUGGCUGUCAUUUUCAACCAGCAUUGAUCAGCACCAUAAGCAUUGGAGUUCCACUCAUAACUUCAAGAAUGCAGUUCGCAACAAAACCAAUGUAAUCUCAAUAGCGGGGUCUGGGGAGGUUACAGUGUGGAGGUAUAGAGAAGGUUGUUCCGGAAGAUCCUCAGUUCAAGUAAUUGAUCAAGAUUUACAGUGAGGAGGAUUAUUGAAGCUCCAUUUCUUACUGCUGAUAUUGCAUGAAACACAUUUAAUUAAUCUCAUCUUUAGCUUUUUCUCUUUGAUUCAGAAAGAGAUGCAACUUGCUAGAUUGGAUGGUAUCCAUGUGUCAAAAUUCAUCUUUUAUUUCCUAGAUACCCCUAGUUUAUCCAUUAAGGAGUUGUUUGGUAGGAGGGUUAAGGAUAACUAAUUCUGGGAUUAAUUUAGAAGAGGAGUUCAUCCCAUGUUUGGUUGGGACAAAAUGCAUGGGGUAACUCAUCUCAAGAUUAGUUAUUUCGGAAUUGUAGUGUUUUUUUUAUCAUUCCUUGAGGGUGAGAUAACUAAUUUCGGCAUAACUUGUUUUCCAACCAAACGACCCCUAAGUUUAGAAUUUUGAACAAA
Capsicum annuum is the source of this 5431-nucleotide long non-coding RNA. RefSeq lists it as uncharacterized. Lineage: Eukaryota; Viridiplantae; Streptophyta; Magnoliopsida; Solanales; Solanaceae. The transcript is spliced from 2 exons. The record is from RefSeq and is a predicted model, not a curated record.